RNAcentral lists this ribosomal RNA (460 nucleotides) under uncultured bacterium. RNAcentral's name for it is "partial 16S ribosomal RNA". It matches the Rfam family "Bacterial small subunit ribosomal RNA", at positions 338 to 795 of the family's 1533-position model. The record is from RNAcentral.
CCUACGGGUGGCAGCAGUGAGGAAUAUUGGUCAAUGGACGCAAGUCUGAACCAGCCAAGUAGCGUGCAGGAUGACGGCCCUCCGGGUUGUAAACUGCUUUUAGUUGGGAAUAAAAUGUUCCACGUGUGGGAUUUUGUAUGUACCAUAUGAAUAAGGAUCGGCUAACUCCGUGCCAGCAGCCGCGGUAAUACGGAGGAUCCGAGCGUUAUCCGGAUUUAUUGGGUGUAAAGGGAGCGUAGGGGGAUUGUUAAGUCAGUUGUGAAAGUUUGCGGCUCAACCGUAAAAUUGCAGUUGAAACUGGCAGUCUUGAGUACAGUAGAGGUGGGCGGAAUUCGUGGUGUAGCGGUGAAAUGCUUAGAUAUCACGAAGAACUCCGGUUGCGAAGGCAGUUCACUGGACUGCAACUGACACUGAGGCUCGAAAGUGUGGGUAUCAAACAGGAUUAGAUACCCGAGUAGUC